ACCAGGCAUUGUGGUCUCUGC
Molecule: microRNA, 21 nt
Filed under: Macaca mulatta (Rhesus monkey)
Lineage: Eukaryota; Metazoa; Chordata; Mammalia; Primates; Cercopithecidae
Description: mml-miR-1911-3p
Source: miRBase by way of RNAcentral